UCCCCGUCCUGUUCCUCGCAGAAGAGCCGGCUGGCGCUGAAGGCGCGGGAGAACCUGCUGCUGCUGGCGGGGCUGCGGCAGGAGGCGGCUGCCAGCUGCCUGGUGAGGGGCAGUGCCCUGUGCCAGCUGCUCGCGGGACACCUCUGUGACCUCUACAGCGCCGUGCCCGCUGGCACCGACCCCGCCGAUGUCCUCGCCAUGGACAGGGGCAGCUGGAGGGCGCAAGGGGAUGGUGCCGGGGACGGGGCUUUUCCCGGGAAGGAGAGCCUGGCUGAGUUCCUGAGCUGGCUGGACUUCGUGGAUGAGCUGGUGAUGGGCGCCCACCCGCUCGUGGCCGAUGCCAUCACCGAGGCCGUGGAGGAGAAGUUUUUCCAGGGAAUCCUGCAGCCGCAGCUCCUGCAGAUGUGAGUGAGUCUGGCCGGGCUGUUCCGCUCCUCAGGAGCCUCCGGGGAGCCGGGAGCAGGGGGUUCCCGUUUUCCCAUGGAUUCCCACCCCCUGUCCCCCCGGCAGGUCAGAGCUGGCCGUGCUGGGCACCACGGCCGUGCUGACG
RNAcentral lists this long non-coding RNA (550 nucleotides) under Cyanistes caeruleus (blue tit). RNAcentral describes it as "lncRNA (ENSCCEG00000004238.1)". The record is from RNAcentral. Lineage: Eukaryota; Metazoa; Chordata; Aves; Passeriformes; Paridae.